AGCCACAGCUAUAUCACGCUGUAGCCCAAGACCGAUUACUCACUGAAGUUAAGCAGGGCUGAGCCUGGUCAGUACCUGGAUGAAAGGCCAUAUGGGAAAACUAGGUUACUGUUGGAA
RNAcentral lists this ribosomal RNA (117 nucleotides) under Danio rerio (zebrafish). The record is from RNAcentral. Lineage: Eukaryota; Metazoa; Chordata; Actinopteri; Cypriniformes; Danionidae.